This 468-nucleotide ribosomal RNA is filed under the name uncultured bacterium. RNAcentral describes it as "partial 16S ribosomal RNA". It matches the Rfam family "Bacterial small subunit ribosomal RNA", at positions 28 to 507 of the family's 1533-position model. The record is from RNAcentral.
GACGAACGCUGGCGGCGUGCUUAACACAUGCAAGUCGAACGGAAAGACCCUGCUUUUGUGGGGUGCUCGAGUGGCGCAUGGGUGAGUAACACGUGAGUAAACUGCCCUUGACUUUGGGAUAACUUCAGGAAACAGGGGCUAAUACCCGGUAGGAGCUCCUGCUGCAUGGUGGGGGUUGGAAAGUUUCGGCGGUUGUGGCUGGACUCGCGGCUUAUCAGCUUGUUGGGGGGGUAGUGGAUGACCAAGGCUUUGACGGGUAGCCGGCCUGAGAGGGUGGCCGGCCUCAUUGGGACUGCGAUACGGCCCAGACUCCUACGGGAGGCAGCAGGGGGGAAUAUUGCACAAUGGGCGGAAGCCUGAUGCAGCAACGCCGCGUGCGUGAUGCCGGCCUUCGGGUUGUAAACCGCUUUCGCCUGUGACGAAGCGUGAGUGACGGUAACGGGUAAAGAAGCACCGGCUAACUACGUG